Molecule: long non-coding RNA, 621 nt
Filed under: Vigna radiata
Lineage: Eukaryota; Viridiplantae; Streptophyta; Magnoliopsida; Fabales; Fabaceae
Description: long non-coding RNA (VRAD_LNC004731)
Source: RNAcentral
GGCUAUACUGUUAAAGUGCAACGGUCCAACAACAUUUGGCGCAUCUGCAAGUGUGCGUCUGGGAGGAGGUUGCUCUAUCAUCUCUUCUUCAAUUCUAUGUGAAGAUGCCUUCGGUGAGGGUUGUAAUAGCCUUUCAGGAGAAGUGAAUAGUUCUCUGGACGGACGUCGAACUUUCUUCCCCCUCCUAUCACUCCAUCCUUCUAGAAGAGGUUGACUUUUCUUACUUUUGGUUUGAACUACUUCCUGCAUACACAAGAAACAAAAACCCUAAAAGCACUUUAUAUAAAAAAACAAAAAUAAAAAAUAAAAAUAAAACUAAAACAAAAUAUAGACAAAGUCAAAUUUAAUCAAUUUACACUACUUGAAAAGUUAAACCACGAGUCCCCGGCAACGGUGCCAAAAACUUGUUAAGCCCCUGGCAAGUGUACUAGAUCGUAUCAAGUAAUAAUAGAAAGUAAGUCCAAGAUCGUUUCCCAAGGGACACUUAGGCCUUAUCUUUCAUGUAAAUUGAUUACAUAAGACUUAAGUAAAGAUUGAAUUUAGGGUUUUGAAUGCAAGAUCUAAAAUAAUCAUGCAAAUGCAAAUUGAAUCAAUUGGCAAAUAAAAGAUAUAUAUGAAUGG